This 440-nucleotide ribosomal RNA is filed under the name uncultured bacterium. RNAcentral's name for it is "partial 16S ribosomal RNA". It matches the Rfam family "Bacterial small subunit ribosomal RNA", at positions 338 to 795 of the family's 1533-position model. The record is from RNAcentral.
CCUACGGGCGGCAGCAGUAGGGAAUAUUGCUCAAUGGGGGAAACCCUGAAGCAGCAACGCCGCGUGGAGGAUGAAGGUUUUCGGAUUGUAAACUCCUUUUGUUAGAGAAGAUAAUGACGGUAUCUAACGAAUAAGCACCGGCUAACUCCGUGCCAGCAGCCGCGGUAAUACGGAGGGUGCGAGCGUUACUCGGAAGCACUGGGCGUAAAGAGCGCGUAGGCGGGAUAGCAAGUCAGAUGUUAAAUCCUAGGGCUUAACCAUAGAACUGCAUUUGAAACUGUUAUUCUAGAGUAUGGGAGAGGUAGGUGGAAUUCUUGGUGUAGGGGUAAAAUCCGUAGAGAUCAAGAGGAAUACUCAUUGCGAAGGCGACCUGCUAGAACAUAACUGACGCUGAUGCGCGAAAGCGUGGGGAGCAAACAGGAUUAGAUACCCCUGUAGUC